RNAcentral lists this ribosomal RNA (253 nucleotides) under uncultured bacterium. RNAcentral describes it as "partial 16S ribosomal RNA". It matches the Rfam family "Bacterial small subunit ribosomal RNA", at positions 524 to 776 of the family's 1533-position model. The record is from RNAcentral.
CACGUAGGGUGCGAGCGUUGUCCGGAAUUAUUGGGCGUAAAGAGCGUGUAGGCGGCCCGGUAAGUCCGCUGUGAAAGUCCAGGGCUCAACCCUGGAAUGCCGGUGGAUACUGUCGGGCUCGAGUCCGGAAGAGGUGAGUGGAAUUCCUGGUGUAGCGGUGAAAUGCGCAGAUAUCAGGAGGAACACCAAUGGCGAAGGCAGCUCACUGGUACGGUACUGACGCUGAGACGCGAAAGCGUGGGGAGCGAACAGG